CUCCUGGAAACGGGUGGUAAUGCCGGAUGCUCCAGAUGACCGCAUGGGAUUCUGGGAAAGCUUUUGCGGCAUGGGAUGGGGUCGCGUCCUAUCAGCUUGUUGGUGGGGUGAUGGCCCACCAAGGCUUCGACGGGUAGCCGGCCUGAGAGGGCGACCGGCCACAUUGGGACUGAGAUACGGCCCAGACUCCUACGGGAGGCAGCAGUGGGGAAUAUUGCGCAAUGGGCGAAAGCCUGACGCAGCGACGCCGCGUGCGGGAUGGAGGCCUUCGGGUUGUAAACCGCUUUUAUCGGGGAGCAAGCGAGAGUGAGUGUACCCGUUGAAUAAGCACCGGCUAACUACGUGCCAGCAGCCGCGGUAAUACGUAGGGUGCAAGCGUUAUCCGGAUUUAUUGGGCGUAAAGGGCUCGUAGGCGGUUCGUCGCGUCUGGUGUGAAAGUCCAUCGCUUAACGGUGGAUCUGCGCCGGGUACGGGCGGGCUGGAGUGCGGCAGGGGAGACUGGAAUUCCCGGUGUAACGGUGGAAUGUGUAGAUAUCGGGAAGAACACC
This 548-nucleotide ribosomal RNA is filed under the name uncultured bacterium. RNAcentral describes it as "bacterial SSU rRNA". It matches the Rfam family "Bacterial small subunit ribosomal RNA", at positions 147 to 710 of the family's 1533-position model. The record is from RNAcentral.